This 505-nucleotide ribosomal RNA is filed under the name uncultured archaeon. RNAcentral's name for it is "bacterial SSU rRNA". It matches the Rfam family "Archaeal small subunit ribosomal RNA", at positions 352 to 859 of the family's 1478-position model. The record is from RNAcentral.
GCAAUGCACGAAAGUGUGACGGGGCUACCCCGAGUGCCACCCGCUGAGGGUGGCUUUUCUUUGGUAUAACUAGCCAGGGGAAUAAGGAGAGGGCAAGACUGGUGUCAGCCGCCGCGGUAAUACCAGCUCUCCGAGUGGUAGGGAUGAUUAUUGGGCUUAAAGCGUCCGUAGCCGGCUUAUCAAGUCUCCUGUUAAACUCAGCGACCUAAUCGUUGAAUCGCGGGAGAUACUACUAGGCUAGGAGGCGGGAGAGGUCGACGGUACUUCUGGGGUAGGGGUGAAAUCCUAUAAUCCCAGGAGGACCACCAGUGGCGAAGGCUGUUGACUAGAACGCGCUCGACGGUGAGGGACGAAAGCUGGGGGAGCGAACCGGAUUAGAUACCCGGGUAGUCCCAGCUGUAAACGAUGCGGGCUAGGUGUUGGGGUGGCUACGAGCCACUUCAGUGCCGCAGGGAAGCCAUUAAGCCCGCCGCCUGGGGAGUACGGCCGCAAGGCUGAAACUUAA